This 70-nucleotide transfer RNA is filed under the name Hordeum vulgare. Its description in RNAcentral is "tRNA-OTHER". The record is from RNAcentral. Lineage: Eukaryota; Viridiplantae; Streptophyta; Magnoliopsida; Poales; Poaceae.
GAUAGCAGCAGAGUGGAUGCACCACAGGCCAGCAACCAGGAGGUCCUGGGUUCGAAUCCCAGGCCUGUCC